RNAcentral lists this ribosomal RNA (177 nucleotides) under uncultured Gammaproteobacteria bacterium. RNAcentral's name for it is "partial 16S ribosomal RNA". It matches the Rfam family "Bacterial small subunit ribosomal RNA", at positions 338 to 507 of the family's 1533-position model. Lineage: Bacteria; Pseudomonadati; Pseudomonadota; Gammaproteobacteria. The record is from RNAcentral.
CCUACGGGAGGCAGCAGUGGGGAAUAUUGCACAAUGGGCGCAAGCCUGAUGCAGCCAUGCCGCGUGUAUGAAGAAGGCCUUCGGGUUGUAAAGUACUUUCAGCGGGGAGGAAGGGAGUAAAGUUAAUACCUUUGCUCAUUGACGUUACCCGCAGAAGAAGCACCGGCUAACUCUGUG